RNAcentral lists this ribosomal RNA (446 nucleotides) under uncultured bacterium. Its description in RNAcentral is "partial 16S ribosomal RNA". It matches the Rfam family "Bacterial small subunit ribosomal RNA", at positions 338 to 795 of the family's 1533-position model. The record is from RNAcentral.
CCUACGGGAGGCAGCAGUCGAGAAUCAUUCACAAUGGGGGAAACCCUGAUGGUGCGACGCCGCGUGGGGGAAUGAAGGUCUUCGGAUUGUAAACCCCUUUCAUGGGGGAGCAAAUGAAAAAGAUAGUACCACAAGAGGAAGAGACGGCUAACUCUGUGCCAACAGCCGCGGUAAUACAGAGGUCUCAAGCGUUGUUCGGAAUCACUGGGCGUAAAGCGUGCGUAGGCUGUUUCGUAAGUCGGGUGUGAAAGGCGCGGACUCAACCCGAGGACGGCACAUGAUACUGCGAGACUAGAGUAAUGGAGGGGGAACCGGAAUUCUCGGUGUAGCAGUGAAAUGCGUAGAUAUCGAGAGGAACACUCGUGGCGAAGGCGGGUUCCUGGACAUUAACUGACGCUGAGGCACGAAGGCCAGGGGAGCGAAAGGGAUUAGAUACCCUGGUAGUC